UCAGACAGCCGGAUGGUCGCCAGCGCCAGGGCGCUGGAGGAAAGUCCGGGCUCCACGGGAACACGGUGCCGGGUAACGCCCGGCGGGGGCGACCCCAGGGAAAGUGCCACAGAAAGCAGACCGCCCGUCGCUGCGCGGCGGGCAAGGGUGAAAGGGUGCGGCAAGAGCGCACCGCGUCGCCGGCAACGGGGACGGCACGGUAAACCCCACCGGGAGCAAGACCAAGAAGGGACGACCGGUCGGCUCCGCCAGGAGGCCGGCAGACGGGUUUCCGCGUUGUCGUCCGGGUAGGUCGCGCGAGGCGGCUGGCAACAGUCGUCCCAGAGGAAUGGCCAUCCAGCCCGGACACACCCUGUCCGGGUGGACAGAACCCGGCUUACAGGCUGUCUGAUCAC
Molecule: RNase P RNA, 395 nt
Filed under: Alphaproteobacteria bacterium
Lineage: Bacteria; Pseudomonadati; Pseudomonadota; Alphaproteobacteria
Description: RNase P RNA component class A
Rfam family: Bacterial RNase P class A
About the family: Ribonuclease P (RNase P) is a ubiquitous endoribonuclease, found in archaea, bacteria and eukarya as well as chloroplasts and mitochondria. Its best characterised activity is the generation of mature 5'-ends of tRNAs by cleaving the 5'-leader elements of precursor-tRNAs. Cellular RNase Ps are ribonucleoproteins.
Source: RNAcentral